CCAAAGAGUAAAGUUCACUUUCCUAAAAGACAUUGACCGACACACCUAAACUCUCUCCCCCAAAUUGACAUCGAAGCUACCUAAUUGGCGCCGUCGACUGGACUGAGAAAGCUUCUGCGAUUACGUUAGACCGGGCAGUCAAUACAUAUCAGAGUAGCUUCAUCUUCAAAGUGACGAACAAAACCUCAAAGUAACAAUCUUAAGAGCAGCUGCUGUAGAAACGAGUGAAGAACAAACAGAUCUGUGUUGCGCAAGUACUAGCUAUCUAGAACAAUUCAAUUCAACGAAGGAUCACCAACGUGAGAAGCACAUUGUGAUAUGGAUUCACCUGGUAUUAUUACUCUCAAUUGUUCAAUAUCCGGCCAUCCAUAUGAGAAUUUCCCCACUACAGCAUGUUGGAGUUCUUCAAUUUCCUUCAUUUGAUUCACUUCAGUCUCUGUCCAUUUGACAUAAGGUUUGAAAAGACUUGCACAUUGUGGUUUGGUAGGAUCGAUUUGUGGUAGAGUAGUCUCUUGUGGGAUUGUCAAAGAAGGCUGGCCAACCACCAAGGUGGUCUGACCAGCGGCCAUGAAGGCCAAAAUCAGUGUGUUGAAGAUCUAGGUUUUAGGAUUUGCAUGAAAUUAGGAUGAGAGAGAAGAGAGCAGCUUUGACAUUAACUACAAAUCUCGCUAAUAUGGCUUUAUUUUAUUUAAACGCUCUUGUAUUUUAUUUUGCUUGACCAUUUUCCCUUGUUUACUAUAUUUA
Long non-coding RNA from Lycium barbarum (goji berry), 744 nucleotides. RefSeq lists it as uncharacterized. NCBI's taxonomy places the organism in Eukaryota, Viridiplantae, Streptophyta, Magnoliopsida, Solanales, Solanaceae. The record is from RefSeq and is a predicted model, not a curated record. The transcript has 5 exons.